RNAcentral lists this long non-coding RNA (1016 nucleotides) under Homo sapiens (human). RNAcentral describes it as "non-protein coding lnc-ME2-3:1". The record is from RNAcentral. Lineage: Eukaryota; Metazoa; Chordata; Mammalia; Primates; Hominidae.
GCCAUGACCCACGGGAAUCAGGGCAGUUGAGAAAACUGUUCUUGGUGGCCUGAGCUUUGAAACUACAGAGGCCCGUUUAAGAGACCAUUUUGAGGAAUGGGGCACACCCACAGACUGUGUGGUAAGGAGAAACUCCCAAACAAAACAUCUCGGGGGCCUUGGUUUUGUGACUUACGCUCAUGCAGCAAAGUGUGCUCAACCACAUAAGGUUGAUGGGCAUAUAGCGGAACCAAAGACAGCUGUCUCUAGAGAGGGUUCUGUAAAGCCUGGUGCCCAUCCAACAGUAAAGAAAAUGUUUGUCGGGAAGUAAUAAGGAAGAGACAGAAGAAUAUAAUUUGAGAGACUCCUUUGAAAAGAGUGACAAGAUUGAAACCACAGAAGUUAUGCAGAGUGGAAAACAGAGAGGAUUUGCUCUUGUAACUUUUGAUGAUCAUGAAACAAAUGAUGAAAUUGUUAUUCAGAUAUACCACGCCAUUAAUGGGCAUAAUUGUGAAGUAAAAAGUGUCCUUUCUAAAUGAGAUGGAGUCUACCAGGUCAUAAAGAGGUCAUGGAAGUGGAUCUGGCAACUUGGCUGGUCAUGGAGGAAACUUUGGAGGUGGUGGAGAUAAUUUUUGCCGUGGUGGGAACUUUGGUGGAAAGGAGGCUAUGGUGGUGAAGGUGAUGGUAGCAGAGACAGUUAUGCAGGAGAUGACAGUGGAUAGAAUGGAUUUGGAGGUGAUGGUAGCCACUAUGGGUGGUGAUCCUGGUCGUAAUAGUAGAGGGGGCCGUGGUGGUGGUGGACCAGGAUAUGGAAACCAAGGUAGUGGAUAUGGUGGCAGUGGUGGAUGAUAUGAUGGUUACAUUGAAAUUUUGGUGGUGGUAACUAUGGUGGUGGUGGAAACUAUAAUGAUCUUGGAAACAGCGAUCAAAUUAUGAAUGCAUGAAAGGGGGCAGUUUUGGUGGAAGAAGUUCAGGCAGUCCCUGUGGUGACCGUUAUGGAUCUGGUAGUGGAAAUGGUGGAUAUGGUAACAGAAGGU